This is a non-coding RNA of Solenopsis invicta (red fire ant), 46 nucleotides long. The record is from Rfam. NCBI's taxonomy places the organism in Eukaryota, Metazoa, Arthropoda, Insecta, Hymenoptera, Formicidae.
CAACCGGCCCUUUUUAGGGCCACCACAUUCUUCAUGUACGGAAGAA